AUUGAACGCUGGCGGAAUGCUUUACACAUGCAAGUCGAGCGGCAGCGCGGGGCAACCUGGCGGCGAGCGGCGAACGGGUGAGUAAUACAUCGGAACGUACCCAGUUGUGGGGGAUAGCCCGGCGAAAGCCGGAUUAAUACCGCAUACGACCUGAGGGUGAAAGCGGGGGAUCGCAAGACCUCGCGCAGUUGGAGCGGCCGAUGGCGGAUUAGCUAGUUGGUAGGGUAAAGGCCUACCAAGGCGACGAUCCGUAGCGGGUCUGAGAGGACGACCCGCCACACUGGAACUGAGACACGGUCCAGACUCCUACGGGAGGCAGCAGUGGGGAAUUUUGGACAAUGGGGGAAACCCUGAUCCAGCCAUUCCGCGUGAGUGAAGAAGGCCUUCGGGUUGUAAAGCUCUUUCGGCAGGAACGAAACGGUUCGCCCUAAUACGGUGGGCUAAUGACGGUACCUGAAGAAGAAGCACCGGCUAACUACGUG
RNAcentral lists this ribosomal RNA (482 nucleotides) under uncultured organism. RNAcentral's name for it is "bacterial SSU rRNA". It matches the Rfam family "Bacterial small subunit ribosomal RNA", at positions 29 to 507 of the family's 1533-position model. The record is from RNAcentral.